This 634-nucleotide long non-coding RNA is filed under the name Cyanistes caeruleus (blue tit). RNAcentral describes it as "lncRNA (ENSCCEG00000005722.1)". The record is from RNAcentral. Lineage: Eukaryota; Metazoa; Chordata; Aves; Passeriformes; Paridae.
GGAAGUGCAACUGCACUGCCAUGGAGGCAGGAGAGCCUUGCUGCAGUACAGAUCCAGCCUGAAAUGAUUGAUUUCCAGAGGAAUGCUGCAAAGUCCUAUUCUUCUCCUGGAAACAAUAGAAAAGAAAGCUUGAAAAGUAGAGAGACCUUUUUCAGGACGUUGGAGUAACCAGAAGGUUCAGAGGAGUUUAAGGCCUGGAAACUUGGAGACCUUCCUGUCUGAAGAGAAAACUCUGAAUCAGCUCAAGUGGAUGUGGUCUGAAGAAGGAAAGUGGCGACAGCCAAGAGGAAAGGGCACCAAAUAUAGGUAAAGGAGUAGGUCAGAAACAUAGGAACUCUUCUUUCUGAAGCUGUUCCCUGCUGCAGGAAACAGAAGCCAAAAAAAAUAGAAAUGGCUGAACUUACAAUAGCGUUGUUCUCCUUCCAAAUAAGCAAUGGAAAUAUGAAUGAUAAAAAUCAGAUGCUGAAUCAGAACUGGCAUAAAUGAAUUUUUUCUUGAGUCUAGAAGCACUAAAUGUAGCCAUUUAAAUGACUCAACAAGGCCUUCACCAAAACAAGGCUUGCAAUAUUCAAACCAAACACAUCCAACAUAAGCCUGUCCAAUAUUCAGGUGUCUGCACAGAGCUCUGAUUAGA